GUUUAUAUAGUUUAUUAUAAAACAUUACAUUUUCAUUGUAAAAAUUAAAAUUUUAUAUUUUUAUAAAUA
This 69-nucleotide transfer RNA is filed under the name Evergestis junctalis. Its description in RNAcentral is "tRNA-Glu". Lineage: Eukaryota; Metazoa; Arthropoda; Insecta; Lepidoptera; Crambidae. The record is from RNAcentral.